AUUUACAACCAUUCUACCAUGAACAUGCUCAAUGAGAUCAGUAAAAGGAGUUGAUCUUGGAAGCUAAACAGGGUCUGGCCUGGUUAAUAGUUAGAUGAGAGGUUGCCUGGGAAUACAAGGUACUGUAGGCU
RNAcentral lists this ribosomal RNA (131 nucleotides) under Callithrix jacchus (white-tufted-ear marmoset). The record is from RNAcentral. Lineage: Eukaryota; Metazoa; Chordata; Mammalia; Primates; Cebidae.